This 440-nucleotide ribosomal RNA is filed under the name uncultured bacterium. RNAcentral's name for it is "partial 16S ribosomal RNA". It matches the Rfam family "Bacterial small subunit ribosomal RNA", at positions 338 to 795 of the family's 1533-position model. The record is from RNAcentral.
CCUACGGGAGGCAGCAGUGGGGGAUAUUGCACAAUGGGGGAAACCCUGAUGCAGCGACGCCGCGUGAGUGAAGAAGGAUUUCGGGAUGUAAAGCUCGAUCAGCAGGGAAGAAAAUGACAGUACCUGACCAAGAAGCCCCGGCUAACGACGAGCCAGCAGCCGCGGGAAGACGCAGGGGGCAAGCGUUAUCCGGAUUUACUGGGUGUAAAGGGAGCGUAGACGGUUAUGUAAGUCUGGAGUGAAAGCCCGGGGCCCAACCCCGGGACUGCUUUUGAAACUGUGUAACUGGAGUGCAGGAGGGGCAGGCGGAAUUCCUGGUGUAGCGGUGAAAUGCGUAGAUAUCAGGCGGAACACCGGCGGCGAAGGCGGCCUGCUGGACUGAAACUGACGUUGAGGCUCGAAAGCGUGGGGAGCAAACAGGAUUAGAUACCCCGGUAGUC